This is a long non-coding RNA of Megalobrama amblycephala (Wuchang bream), 1259 nucleotides long. RefSeq lists it as uncharacterized. The record is from RefSeq and is a predicted model, not a curated record. Lineage: Eukaryota; Metazoa; Chordata; Actinopteri; Cypriniformes; Xenocyprididae. The transcript is spliced from 5 exons.
GUGUGUGUGUGUGUGUGUGUGUGUGUGUGUGUGUGUGUGUGUGUGUACUUGUAUUUAUUACUUUGUUGGGCCCGGUGACCUGGAGCACACCAACAGUAUGGGGUCCAACAGCCUUGUGGGGCCCAAAAUAGUGGGCCCCACACCGUUUUUCAUUUAAACUGCCUCAGUAGCCUGUCCUGAUAUGCCUCAUGCUUUUUUUUCACUUACCCCACAAAGUGACAAAGUAUGGUUACGUGUGUUACACACUUUUUGCUCUCUAUCGCCCCCAUAUCUGAGAGUGGGGUAUUGCAGCAGAUACACACUACCGGAAGUGUGUGUCGUUUUAGCUCACGGAAGGGAGGAGCUGAUUAGUUUUAGUCAUAAACAGUGUUAAUUCCUUUUGUAAAAUCUAUAAUUCAACAUGUUUGGACUCUGUACCAACUGAAGAAACUCAACAGGUAACUUAUGUUUAUAUUAUUUGACUGUGCAUUUGAUUUAGUUCAAUUCCUACCCAUAUCGACAGAAUGAUGCUUAAUGAAAUACCAUUUUAAUCACACGGCUAAUUGCUAAUAGCCCACGGAAAGGGAGGGGCCAUUUAAAUGGGCUGUUUUACGGCAUUUCAACCGGAAGUUCCACGCGGGUUAACACUGUACAAACGGAAGAACGUCUUCGUGUGAGCAACAGAUCGCUGGUGGCUAAUAGCCCGUGGAAAGAGGGACACAUCACAUUUACUGCAUUUUCACAAGGUUUAACGCUGUCCAACCGAAGUAACGUAAUGUCUUCAUGUGAAUAACUGCCAUAAUGUCCAGAAGAUGUAAGAGGAUACGGCCUGCAGACGAAGCAAGGUCUUAUAUUUUGUCUUCAAGUGACAAGCCAGAGUUUGUGGAACGAUUUAUUGAUAGAAACAAAGGUAGAGGAGUGUUUUCUACCCAGCCUGUUGAACCGGGAGCUUUUGUCUUAGAAUAUAGGGGGGAACUCAUCACAGCAGAGGAAUGCCAGGCCAGAAACUACACAGAGUUACAGAGCACAUUUCUGUUUGAUUUUGAAUGGCAGCAACGUCACUGGUGUAUUGAUGCAUCCAAAGAAGAUGGAUCCCUUGGAAGACUGUGUAAUGACAAUCACAAAUCUCCCAACUGCUCUAUGAAAAAAAUCAUAGUAAAUAACAGGCCACAUUUAUGUCUAUUUGCCGUGAAAAGAAUUGAAAUAGGAAGUGAAAUUGAAUAUAACUAUGGUGAUGCACAAUGGCCAUGGCGUAACAAGGUGAGUUAGAUUAGUCAUGU